Molecule: ribosomal RNA, 468 nt
Filed under: uncultured bacterium
Lineage: Bacteria
Description: partial 16S ribosomal RNA
Rfam family: Bacterial small subunit ribosomal RNA
Source: RNAcentral
GACGAACGCUGGCGGCGUGCUUAACACAUGCAAGUCGAACGGAAAGGCCCUGCUUUUGUGGGGUGCUCGAGUGGCGAACGGGUGAGUAACACGUGAGUAACCUGCCCUUGACUUUGGGAUAACUUCAGGAAACUGGGGCUAAUACCGGAUAGGAGCUCCUGCUGCAUGGUGGGGGUUGGAAAGUUUCGGCGGUUGGGGAUGGACUCGCGGCUUAUCAGCUUGUUGGUGGGGUAGUGGCUUACCAAGGCUUUGACGGGUAGCCGGCCUGAGAGGGUGACCGGCCACAUUGGGACUGAGAUACGGCCCAGACUCCUACGGGACGCAGCAGUGGGGAAUAGUGCACAAUGGGCGGAAGCCUGAUGCAGCAACGCCGCGUGCGGGAUGACGGCAUUCGGGUUGUAAACCGCUUUCGCCUGUGACGAAGCGUGAGUGACGGUAAUGGGUAAAGAAGCACCGGCUAACUACGUG